This is a long non-coding RNA of Drosophila ananassae, 118 nucleotides long. RefSeq lists it as uncharacterized. The record is from RefSeq and is a predicted model, not a curated record. NCBI's taxonomy places the organism in Eukaryota, Metazoa, Arthropoda, Insecta, Diptera, Drosophilidae. The transcript has 2 exons.
GGACGAUGAUGAGCGCACCGAAUUAACAUACUGCUACACCAAGAAGUGGGCUCUCCACAUCAUGGUUCGCAUGUUCGAGGGGUAUGGAAGUCCCAGCAACGUAGUUAGUGAAAAGCAC